This is a long non-coding RNA of Triticum dicoccoides, 593 nucleotides long. RefSeq lists it as uncharacterized. NCBI's taxonomy places the organism in Eukaryota, Viridiplantae, Streptophyta, Magnoliopsida, Poales, Poaceae. The transcript has 2 exons. The record is from RefSeq and is a predicted model, not a curated record.
GCAGUCCGUCCACUGCACCAGGAAGAGGAAUAUGUGCGCGGCGGGGCUAAACGACAGCCGCAUCUGCAGGCACGCCCCAUCGUACUCCCGCGGAAAUUCAGUCGCCCUGCACGUCAGAUAGAUCACUUGAGAUCAAUGCAAGGGUUCAACGGCGACGACUGCGGCUACAGGGCGUUGGUCCUUAGGGGCACGUGCACGAAGACUUCCUGACUGUCAUUGCAAGGUCAAGUCGGCCCUGGUAGUGGAGCAGCGAUAGUGGCGCGUCAGCAGCUCGUUCUGAUGGCAAUAGUGACCAUCCAUGGUUUCGGAAUCUCAAUGUAAUUUUUAUUAUAUUUAAGAUGCUUUAUACUUUCGAUGAACUUUUAUAAUAGGCCUGAUGCUUUUCUGAAACAAAUUGUCACGGAUAGGGGCGGAGACCAUUCAACGACAUACAUCAAAUGUCCGUCAGGCGCCCGUGAUAACUUCGUCAAUCUAAAAAUGCGAUGUCGUGUCUUAAAGGUGAAUAUGGGGAUAGAAUGUGUAUGCGUACACCCAUAGGGGUGAGCAUAUGUGCGUGUGUAUGAGAAUCUAUGAUUGUACCGUGUUAAAGAAAA